CAGGAGUAGCUUUGGCCUAGCC
This 22-nucleotide microRNA is filed under the name Equus caballus (horse). RNAcentral's name for it is "eca-miR-9057". Lineage: Eukaryota; Metazoa; Chordata; Mammalia; Perissodactyla; Equidae. The record is from miRBase by way of RNAcentral.